AUGCCUGUCUACCACCGAACAACACAAAAGGUAAUCAGAGAUGCUUAGUCAUGCCUUGAAGCUACCAAACUCACCAAAAACUUUAGGAACUGGAGAUCACCAUUUUCAACCCGAAAGCCUCGCAGAUCAAAGAUCCCAAGUAUAUUCUCUGCUCCUGGCGGAAGUCUGUUGACUGCCUUCUCAACCAAAUAGGCACAUAGCUUCUGGUUUUCAACUGGAUCCUGUGUC
Molecule: long non-coding RNA, 228 nt
Organism: Zea mays
Lineage: Eukaryota; Viridiplantae; Streptophyta; Magnoliopsida; Poales; Poaceae
Exons: 2
Source: RefSeq, a predicted model, not a curated record